CCUACGGGAGGCAGCAGUGAGGAAUAUUGGUCAAUGGGCGCGAGCCUGAACCAGCCAAGUAGCGUGAAGGAUGACUGCCCUAUGGGUUGUAAACUUCUUUUAUAUGGGAAUAAAGUGAAGUAUGUAUACUGCUUUGCAUGUACCUUAUGAAUAAGGAUCGGCUAACUCCGUGCCAGCAGCCGCGGUAAUACGGAGGAUCCGAGCGUUAUCCGGAUUUAUUGGGUUUAAAGGGAGCGUAGGCGGGUUGUUAAGUCAGUUGUGAAAGUUUGCGGCUCAACCGUAAAAUUGCAGUUGAUACUGGCAGCCUUGAGUACAGUAGAGGUAGGCGGAAUUCGUGGUGUAGCGGUGAAAUGCUUAGAUAUCACGAAGAACUCCGAUUGCGAAGGCAGCCUGCUGGACUGUAACUGACGCUGAUGCUCGAAAGUGUGGGUAUCAAACAGGAUUAGAUACCCUUGUAGUC
RNAcentral lists this ribosomal RNA (460 nucleotides) under uncultured bacterium. RNAcentral's name for it is "partial 16S ribosomal RNA". It matches the Rfam family "Bacterial small subunit ribosomal RNA", at positions 338 to 795 of the family's 1533-position model. The record is from RNAcentral.